UGUCUCCGACCAAAUCUGACCUCCGAGCUCUUAACACUACAAAAUAGAGGAAAAGGAAACAAGGUAAGCACUUGGUGCUUAGUAAGCUCAUGUAACAAGAAUUAUACUUACCUAAUAUUUUCAAUACAAUACAAUAAACUUUCAUAUAUCCAUUCAAUGCAUUAUUACCCUAACAUACACAAACUCAACAUUCAAGUUAGUACAAUAAUUUCCAUGUACCAAUAAUAUAUACUAUGAUUGAUGAGCUCAUCAAUACCAUGAUUUCCAUUUCCUUAUAUAUAUAUUUUUUUCAUAUUUGUCCCGUUGAAUUUCUUGGAAUUUUUUAUGGAUUUUCAGAGGUACCCUUUUAGUGUACAUUUCUGGGUCCGUCAAUUCAUAUUCAUGUGCGACAUUUCCAUUUCAGAGAGCACACUCCCACGAACUCAUCCUUACAGCGGGAUUACCAGUCUAGGCUAAAUCCCCUGUAAUAUAAACUCAUAGAGUAUUGUCGGGAUUACCAGUCCAGGCUAAAUCCCUUGCAACGACAAUUACUCUAAUGAGCUUGGAUCUGAAUUACCAGUCCAAGCUCAAUUCAGACUCUAAUUCGGAUUACCCGUCAGGGCUAAAUCCAGUUUCCACAUAUUCUUCGGGAGGGCUAUAUCAGGAUAGGAUCACCCGUCCGGGCUAGGUCUUUUUUACCGUCAAUUCCUUUUUAGAGAUCUAUCGAAUUUUCCUUUCAUUCAACCGAGAUUUCUUCCCCUUUUAUCAAAUAUGUCAAUGUUUCAUAAAUUUUCAUAUAAUGAACAUUCAAAUCAUAUUCAUAUAAAAAAACAUACAUUUCAAGUAUUUAAGAAUAUAAUUCAAGUUACAUGAACUUACCUUAAUACUUGUUCGUGUACAAAAAUCUACUAAUUUUGAACUUUUUCCUUUCCUCGAUCUAGCUUCGUAUUUGAAUCUUCUAGAUCUAAAUAAAUAAAUUUAAUUAUCAAUUUAAUACAUUUCAUGUUCAUAUGCAACAAUUUCUAUAAUUUCAUUAUUACUAUUUAUAGUUUAUUCAAAGCUGUCUAUUUGAGUCAUAGUCACUAAAUUAAGAUCCGUUAAUUUUACCUAAAACUAGACUCAUAUAUAUUCUUACCAUAAACUUUUUAGAGUUUUUGGUUUAGCCAAUAAGUACCGUUUAUUCUUUAAAGUCACCCCUGUUCUACUGUCUAAUAGUUCUGACCCUUCGUCACUAAAAAUUAAUUAUCUCUUCAUACAGAAUUUGGAUGAUGUUCCUGUUUGUUUCUCUUAAAAAUAGACCCAUUCAAAAUUCUAGACAUAUAAAUUUAAGCCCCUAGUUAUUUUUAUUCAAUUUUUAUGAUUUUUUAAAUUCAGAACAGGGGAACUCAAAUGCAUUCUAACCUUGUCUCACAAAAUUCAUUAUAUCUCAUGAUUUACAGAUCAAUUGCUUACAUCGUUUCUUCUAUGAGAAACUAGACUCAAUAAGAUUUCAUUAUUUAUUUUUUUAAUCUUCUAAUUUGAUUAUUAAAUUUAUGGUGAUUUUUCAAAGUUAUUCUACUGCUGCUGUCCAAUAUUGUUUUAGUGCAAGUUGUUUAUUACCAUUUUUCCGUUAAGCUUUUAAUAAAUAACAAUUUCAUCCCUACUAAAUUAGCCUUUCAAUUAAGCUAAUUUUUCUCAAUUAACACAUUAUUCUAUCACCUUAAACUAGUUUACAACCUUUAGGAAUCAAAAUUUCAGCAAUAGACUUUAAUUCCAAACAUUUUCACAAUUAGGUCCUAAAAAUCAAUUUCUAUUGAAAUUACCUAAUAAAAUCAUUUCAUAAAUAAAUUAAAGCUUUAAUUUCAUUCUAUUUCGUCAUAAAAUUAUAGAAAUCAACCAUGGUGACUAUCAAUUUCAUCCAUGAAAUCAAAAACUAAUGAAUUUAAUAGUAGGACCUAGUUGUAAAAGUCUUAGAAACACAAAAAUUUCAAGAAAAAGGUAAGGAUUAACUCACUUGGUGAAACAAUUAUGGAAUACCAGCUUAGAGAACCCUCCUAUGGCAUUUUUAGCUGCUAGAAUUGAAGAGAAAUGAAGAGAAAUCUAGAUAUUUCCUAUUUAGUCCUAGCUUUAUUUAGUUAAUUUUGCAAUAUUUCAAUUUUGCCCUUAAUUUACCAAUUUUCCUGCUGAUUUCAUGCCCUUGCCGUCCAUCCCAAAUAAAAUUUGGGUCUAAUUGCCUUUUAAAUCCUCUCUCAUUAGACACUUAAGCUAUUUAAUCAUCCCAUCCACUUUUACACCUUUUACAAUUUAGUCCUUUUCAUUUAAUUAACUAUCCAAACAUUAAAAUUUCCUAACGAAAUUCUAAUACCACAUUACUAACAUUUCAUAAAUAUUUAUAAAAUUAUUUUUGACUCGGUCUUACGAGAUAGAGCUCUCGAUACCUUAUUUUACCCAAUUUCUUCAAUAAUUUCUUUUUCUAACUAACCACUAAAUCGGUAAAUAAAUUUUAUCAAUAUUUUCAUACGAUUUUCCUAUCAUAUCAAUUUUCAUGCAAAAAUAUUGAAAUAAAUUUAUCUUUAAAUCAGAUUUGUGGUUACGAAACCACUAUUCCGAUAACCUUGAAUUUAGGCCAUUACAGAUUCUCAUAGUUCUCAUAUAAGAAAUUUCAUUAUCGUUGCCACCUCUUUUGUCAUUUUUCUUCUUUAUAGCAAAAUUGAAUCUAAUAUUUCAUUUGCCUUCACUGUAAUGAAAAUAAAAAACGAUAAUAAUGCUUUAAUUCAUUUGUUAUGUAUAUAUGGUUAUAAUCAGGUAAUCAUUUGUCCUUUAAAGCAAGUUGCUAAUUAAUAAAAAUUUAAUAGGAUAAAAUAUGCUCUAAGUAUCUGUAUUCUUAAUAUAUUUUCAAUUUAAUCCCUUUGCUUUUAUAUAUAGGAAUUCAAUCCAUUUUGACUAGAAAAAUAGUUUAGCAAUCCAUAAAAUAAAAUAAACACAAAAGUAAGAUAACACUAAGAGUGGUUCUCCCAGGGCAUUAACCCAAUAAUGUCUAUUUAUAAAGAAAAAAUCACAUAAUGGAAAAAAAUAAAGAAGUAACCUUGAUUAAAUAAAGUAUAAUUUUAGUAAAUUUUCGCGUCAAACUUUUAGGUUAUUUUUAACAUCUUCUUGGCAUUUCUUGGGCUCAAGUUGUGUAAUAACUUCAGUUAUAUCUUUCAAUUCACUUUAAAACAAUAUAUCAUGGGCCCAAAAUGAGUUCUUAGAUCAAGUUAUGGCCAAAAUACUGAUACAAUGUUGUGUUGAAAGUUUAAUUCGCAAAAACUUGCCAAAAAAUAGACUUUAACCUCUUUUGUAACACCCUUCACCCGUCUUCAUUACUAGAUUAGUGUUACAGGAUGCUACAAUAAAUAAUAGAAUAGGAUCAUGUUAUUUCAAUUUAAAACUUCUUUAGACAUUUAUCAAUUAUCAAACUUCAAGUUAAAACAUGUUAUUCAUACAAGAACAUGCUUAAAAUGAGCUUAAGAAAGCCCUAAAAAUAAUUUAGAACUAAGCAGGGACUAAUUUGAAACUUUUCAGAAAAGUGUGGAAAAAGUGCAAAACAUGUGUCACACAACCAUAUUAUAGGUUGAGGCCGUGUAGUGCAGGGUCACAUGUCAUGUCGCUAGGCUGUGUAACAAGUUGUGGUCGUGUGGACCUAAUUGUAAAAUCUUGAAAACAUUCACACAGCCAUGUAGCUAGGCCGUGUGAGACACUGAGAUUAUGUCUACCCAAAAUCACUCUGAUCAAAUAGAGCAUGUGGACGUGUCACUUGCUCGUGUGUGACACAGUGUCGAAUGUUAGCUAGUGUGUGCUAAAAUGUAACUUAUAAUGCAAGUCACAAACAUCAACUACUUACUUAAACCACAAGCAUGCCAUUAACUAUUCAAUAGACCUGUAUAAAUACACCAAAAUCAUACUAAAACAUAUUAAUUUCCUAAUUCUAACCAAUAUGUCAUAAGGCACCAUCACAGCCAAUAAUCACUACCUAUAUGUUUCCUAAUUCAUACCAAUUUUGAACAUAACUAAGCGAAUGCCAUAUAAAUCAUCAAAAGUGCCAAAAUUUCCAUUCUUUAUCCUUAAAUAUGUACCAAUAUAUAUUCAUCUCUACAAUAGGCACCAAAAGAAUCAAUGCACAUAACAUAUCCAUAACACCCAAAUCAAAUAUUAAAUCAUUAUGCCAUAUGUUCCAACCAACCUCACAUAUUCAAUCAAUUCAUAACAUAACUAAAUCAUGCCAACCAUUCAGAUGAAUCUCUCAUUUUUCCUAUACUUAACAACCAUAUUCAAAUUCACCAUUUCAAACCAUUACCAAGCAUAUCAAAAGGUUAUCUAACACACAUAUUAUGUGACACUCCAAACUCAACCAGGACGAAUCGGCACGAAUUCGAAGUGUUACAUUAGCUACCGAAGCGACUUUCCAGCUAACGACCACCCAACACAUACCCCAACCUUAUAACACCUUAUUUAUGACUAGUUAACUAUCACUUAUUAAUGCGGAAGCAAUUUGCGAACCAUUUGUAAAUUUUUUCUAAGUAUUUAAACCUAAGAGUAUUUUGGUCAUUUUACAACCUAAGGUUAAACUAUCCCGAUUAUUUUAUUUCUAAAUAGUUACCAACCUUCUUUUAGUCAAAUUAUGUAAGCCCUAAAAAUUUAAGCUUAAUUCGAGUUCAUUUACUAUGUCUAAUUCAAGUUUUAUUAUUAGGGGAUAAAUCAUAACUUUUACAAACUUUUAGUAUAUUUUCCAAAUUAAAAUUAAGGGUGUUUCUACCAAAUAUUACCAGUUGCAAGUCUAAUUCUAAAAUAUUACCAAGUUUCCCUAUCAUUAAAGGCUUAAAUUAAUCUAAUCAAGUUUUAGGACUCAAUUAUAAAUUAAGCAUAUUAGAAUACUAGAUUACAAAUACUAAAAAUUGAACCCCUAAAAACCUACAUGCCCGUGUGAAAAGACACAUGCCCGUGUGACCACUGCACCUAUUUUGUCAGAAAUUCGUUUAAUUACCCGAUUUUACAUAUUUUACUUACCCGUUAAACUUGAAAUAGCUACAAUUAAUUACCAUAAACAUCCACACAUCUCCAAUUUAAUUUAUUUACAACAAAUAUGCAGCAAUUAAUCAAAGUUUAACGCCCAAUUACACUCUUAGCAAACACCAAUUAAUUCACACAAGCUAAUACCUUAGUCGCAAGCAAUCCACUCCAUGGUAAACCUAAUUAAACAUUGUUAGUAUAAAAUACAUGCUUCAUACACCAUGUUAUCAACCACUGUACGAACACUCAUCAAUAUACAAUAAAUCAAACAUCAAUUAGACAUAAAAUCAUGUAUUAAAGCAAUUAUAAAAUCACCAAAGUUAAAGUCCAAAAUUUAAUGUCCAAUGUCCAUUACAAGUAAAAUAACACUAGCCCCUAAAGCAUCACAAUACCCCUAUAUAGUCUCUAAAGUAAAUUUCUUAAGCCACUACCGAGCCUUAUUCUUAGAUCGCCUUUGCAGUCACUUCUUGACUCCUUACAUCCAAAAAUUCUCUACACAAAAUAUGAGGGUGUGAGCUUAAAAAUCUCAGUGACUGAUAGUAAAAACAUCAAGUAAUUUGCAUCCAAUCAUGCUUAAAUUAAAGCAAUUAAGCAUUAAUUUUUCAGUCAGAACAAUUUAACAUUUCACCAUAAUAUCACAUGUUAUUUCACGAAUUAAGGAUCAAUUUUUCCAUGGCAUAUAAAGUCAUCUUUUAACACGUAAACAUUCAAUUAUAUUGGCAUAAUCGAUCAAUUAUAUUGGCAUAAUACAUCUGUGACAGCCCUAAAUUGACCCUAGUCGGAAAGUGGUUUCGGGACCACAAGACCCAAUCAUAAAAAUAAUUAACCAUUAUAUUUGAUGCUUAUUAUAUGUAUAUAGGCAUGUGUGAAAAUUUCAUGUUUGAAUUUUGUUAAUUGUAAGUGAAUUUUGCUAAAUAGGACUUGUGUGAGAAAAUUUAGAAAUGUGCUAGGCAAAUGUUAAAGUGGCCUAUUGAUGCAUGCUAGAAAAUGUUGUCCUUGCAUGUCAAAAUACCCAAAACUUGGGAUGGUGGCCGGCCAUGCUAUGGGUAAAAAGGUAUUAUAAACAUGUUAUGUUAGUGUUUCAUGGGAGGAAUGAUAAAAUAAGGAGCAUGGUAAUAAAAUAAUGAAAAGGAAAAUGAUGAAGAAAAAAAAAAGAAAAAGUUCUCAUGUUGUUCAACUUGGCCGAAUAGAAGAAAGAAAAAGAAGGGAAAGAGCUUGGAGAAAAUCGGCUAUGGUGGUUCACUAGACUAAGGUAUGUUGAUGUUGUUCCAUGAGAUUCAUGCAUGUUUUUAGUUGUUAGCUUGUGUUCUACCCAGCCCAUGGUUUAAAUCUUUGCUAUGAGAUGGAGAUGAUAUUCGGCCAUGGGUGUUGUCUUCUUGGUUGGUGUUUGAUGUUGUGGUGAUGAGGCAUGAAGAUGAGUUAAGUUUCGGCUAAGGUGGACUCGUGUUGAUGUCAUUUGCAUGCUAAGUGUGAAGCUUUGUAAUGAUACAUGUGAUGGUGAUUGAUGACUCUUGGAUUUUCUUUUUAGCAUUUUUAAGUUAGACAUUAAGUUCUUUGUUUAACCCAUGACCAAAAUUGAAAUGGUAUGGUGUCUUGAUGCAUUCGGCCAUGGUAGGAAGUAGAUGAGAAUUGGUAGUAAGGUGAAGUGCAAAUGUUAGUACUUUAUUACUAGUGUAUAUAUGUGUAUUAGCCGAGUUUUGAACUUGAAACAAAAUGGUACGUAGUCAAUACAAGUAAGCAUAUUUGUAGGAAGUAUUAAGCAUAUAUCGGCCUCAACAUAGACAUGCUUAUUCGGCCACAUGAGGUAGAUUGGUGUUGCAUGUAUUCGGUUAGAGGCAAGCAUAUUGAUGCUUUUAUCUUGGCUUAGAUAAUCGGCUAAAAGAGAGUGUGGGCUAAUAUGUUGAGUUGAUUCAUGAUUUCAUAUAUAUGUGACUCUAAUGUCUAAUGUAUAUGUGGGCUAAGUACCUUGAGUUUCUCUUUUUGAUGUUCAAAUGAUUAAAUCAAUUUAUUUGUUAAAUUAAGGUCAAGAGCAAAGGGGAACUAAAUCCGAUAAAGGGAAGGAAAAAGUGAUCGAAUAGCCGUCGAAAUUGUUCGACAACAUCCGAGGUAAGUUUUCAAGUAAUGAAACUUAGUUUACGAUUUGAUUAAGUCAUGACGUAUAAUCAUAACAAAUAUACGGUGAUAUAAUGAUUCUACUUGAAUUAUAUGUUGAGUUAAUUAGUCUAUACGUAUGAUGGGUAGCCGUAUGUGCAUAGAGAUCAUGUCAUAAAGCAAACCAAAUCAUGCUGUUUGUAUGUGGCUAUUGAGCUGAAAAUGGGAAUGCUUAAUAAUUGACUUGUGUUUGAAUUCUAGUUAUGAAAAUGAAAUAAAUGUGUCAUGAUUUACUGAUAUGUGCAUGAAUAUUCGGAUGAUAACGGGGCUAAGUCCCGAAGGCAUUUGUGCUAGUGACUAAUUCCGGGCUAAGUCCCGAAGGCAUUUGUGCGAGUUACUAUAUCCGGGCUAAGUCCCGAAGGCAUUUGUGCGAGUUAAUAUAUCCGGGCUAAGUCCCGAAGGCAUUUGUGUGAGUUACUAUAACCGGGCUAAGUCCCGAAGGCAUUUGUGCAAGUUACUAUAACCGGGCUAAGUCCCGAAGGCAUUUGAGCAAGUAGCUAUAUCCGGCUAAAUUCCGAAGGUACUUGGCUUGGGAAUGAGCGAUCUUGCUAUAAUAAUUUCAAUUAAUACGCUCGUAAAAUUCCAACGAUGAGGUACGUUUUGUAUAUGCAUUGGAGUAUUUGAUUCCUUUUAAAUAUUAUUCGCUCAGUCAAUUAAUGAGCUUCCGGCCUUUGGUUAAGUUGAUCCCUUAUGUGUGAAUAUAAGGGUUGGAAAUGUGAAGUAGGACUGAAUCUUGAGAAUAUGUGUAUAUGAAAUUGUCCGUUUAGUUAUAUGAAUGCUAUACUUCAGUUGUGCCUAAUUUCAUUGCUCAAAACUUACUAAGCAUUAAAUGCUUAUUCCGUUUCUUUGAUUCUCUGUUUUAUAGAUUUUGGUUCGUCAGCUAUCAGACUCGGGAUUGUCAAAGUCGAAGUCGUCCACACUAUCAAAGCCCUUUUGGUACUCUUUUAGUUGAACUCUGCUAAUGGCAUGUAUAGGACUGCCCUUGUGUUAUUAGUCAAGUACUUUGGUGUUGUAUAUAUUUGGAUAGCCAUGCGAAAAUGGCUUAUAUAUUUUGAGCAUAGUGUUAUAAUCAUUUUGUAUGUAUAUGGUUAUUGAGAGGUGUGGAUAUGCUUGGCAAUGAUUGGCCAUUGGAAUGGUUAAUCAUGAUCAUAUUUUGUGCUAUAUAUGCUAAAGGGCUAGUUGAAUCAUGGAAACUAUGAAAUAGGUAAAGUCUACCUUAAAGGCAGAUGCUGACAGCAGCAGUGAUGUAAAUUUGAAAAAUAACUAAAAAUAGUAGGAAAGUAAUUAAAUAGUGAAUAAAUUAUUUAAUCGAACCUUUAUGAAUCUACUUUCAUAUGGAAGAAACGAAACGAUCAUAUGAGUCGUAUUUUAAGAGAUAUUUAAGUUUUCGUGGAAUAGGGCCAGAGCAAUUUCUGGAUCCCCUGAUCUGACUUUGGAAAUUCACUAUAAAUUAACCAGAGAUAAUUAGAGGUCAUGCCAUAUAUGUAUAGAUUCCUUUUUGAGUCUAGUUUCGUUAGAAACAAAUAUCAUAAAUAUUGAAUCCCUGUACAGGGAGAUAUAUAAGUCGUAAUGCAUAAAGGUUAGAGCAGUCAAACCCUGAAACAGAGGAGACUUUAACUAAUAAACUGUACUAAUUGGCCUAAUUAAAAAUUCUUGAAAACAAUUUGUAGAUGGAUAUAUGAGUCUAGUUUCAGGGAAAGUUUAAGGAAUCAGUUUUCGAGCUUCGGAACUCGAGAUAUGAUUUUUAAAGUGACAGUGAUGCAAUUAGCCAGCUUGUCUGAAAAAAAAUGAACUGUGUAAGUCAUUGAAAUAAGUCCGUAAAUACCUCGUGUUCGACUCCGGCAACGGUCUCGGGUACGGGGUGUUACAACAUCCAUGGAAAUAAGUAAACGUGUGAUCAUAUAUUGGAUAAACAAAUCUCUGAACUCCCACAAAUCAAAUAUAGUCCUCCGAAUUGAGUGGGCCAAAGCCACAAGCUCUCUUAUAAUGCCUCAAAUAAUCUGAUUAGUGGAAACUCAAGCUCAAAACUCCCUUAUCUACUCCAAAAAAAUUAGUCCACCAAGAGCCAUAUACUCACAAUAUCCCAAAUAAUGGUAAGUAUUCACAAGUCCUAUUGCAUGUAAACUAUAUCCAACAGAUCUACCAUGAAAUGUUUCCAAUAUAAUCAUACAUACAAGGCAUAAAAUCUAUUAUUUAAUCACUUAAUUUAGGAUGUUUAAAUGCAAGUAAAAGCAUGUUGCUAAGCAAUUUUAAUAUCAAAAAAAUUAAGCAUAGCAAAUAUCAUUUUCCCAAUAUUCAUAUACCCAUUAGAACACCUUUAUCAAAUGUUUAAUAAAUUAGCAAUUCAUGCUUAAAAUAUCAAUUUAUUUCAUACAAUUUAAUCAUGUUAAAAGCAUAAUACACAACUUACCAAACCAAUUGCCAUUUUGCUCUUUUAUAAAAUAAAACCUAUUUCUGCAAAUCUAACCAUCCAAUAUGCAAUUAAGUCAUUAAUAAAACCAAUUAAACCUUUAAUUUAACAUAUAAUUAGGCCAAUUUACCAAAUUUCCAUUAAUGUCACUCACCUCUACACUUAGCUCUUUAAGCAAAAAUGUGUUCAAACAAGCAAGUUUGAGCUUCAAUUUUGAUUUGCAUGUUCCUCCUCUUGAUGUGGAGCUUUAACAGAGACAAAGUAUGCAUUACAAACUAACAAUAGCAAUAAGAAACAUGAAAUUUGAUGAAGUAUAAGAAUUUAAAUAAUUGCUCUAAACUACCUUAUCGAUGUUGCACAACUAAGUCGAAAUAUGGAAUUCCUGAACUAAACUCCCAUUUCAGCACCUCAAACCACUUCUAAUCUUCAUUCCUAGUCCAAUAACAUGUAUUCUAAGUGUUAAUUUCAUCAUUUAAUUUGUUUCUUUAUUUUUCAAAAAAAUCAUCCAUGUUCUUGAUCUAAUUUGAAUUUCUCAAAAUUGAUCCAUAAAACGUGUUUGAUCUUUUGGUUUAAGAUUAAAAACCUCUUAUUAGACCGAUUUUGAUCUUAGAAAUCCAUUAAUAUUCAAAUUCCAACUCAAAAUUAAAGAUCCACCAUUGUUGAUCCUCAAGUUUAAGAAAGAAGAAAUUAAAGUUGAAAAUCCAUUAUAAUCACUUUAAUUAGCAAAUAAUGAUUGAAAUCAACUUAAAAACAAGUUUAGAGAUGAGGAUUACCUUCAAUUGAACUCAAAUCAUUGAUUUGGAAAUUUGGAUCAAAAUGCUUGAAGAAAUUCGGAUGACUUUUUGCCCAACUAUGAAAAUUAUUUUGAGAUAUUUUAGAGAGAACUUUAGGAGAGAAAUGGUUUUGAUCUAUUCUCCGAUAUUUGGUUUAUGAAAACAAGAAAAAAAAAUAAAUGAAAAAGCUCUCAAUUCGGGUGAAAAAUGAGUGAAAAGUGAGGUAGUUGCAAAGUUUUUAAAACUAAAAACACCCACCUGAUUUUCAAAAUUUGGGGAAUUUGCCAUCAGGCCACUCCCCGUUUUCCUUAUUUUACAAUUUGCUCAUUUCCUUCCAAAAUUCUAAAAAUAUGGUUUAUUUUCUAUAAAAACUCUGACACAUUUCCCUUGUUUGUCAAAUUAGUCCUAUUUAAUUAAUAUUUUAAACCACCCAAUUAAACCCUCAUUUUAAAUUAUUUUUAAAUUCCAAUUUAACCCAAAAUAUUUAUUUUUACCCAAAAAUUAUUUAAAACCAUAAAAUUAAUUUUUCUAAAAAAAUUUUUAUUUUUCAAAACAUUGUUUACCGAUUUUUAGAUUAAAUUAAGCUAACUAAUUAAGAAUAUAAAUUUCUAAUUAAUUCGAUUAAUUCCUAAUUUUCACUCGGAAGCCGGUAAACUUACCCAAAACUACUAGAUCUAUUUUUGGGGCCGUACAAGUUACACUUUUCUUUUACAAAACAUUUAUAUAAAAUUUAACCCCUAGUACCUACCACAUGACCGGAAUAAACAAUUAAAAAUCUAUCAAAUAGAAGUUGGAUAAUGUAAGCUUCAAGCUUAUCCGAUCAUCGAGUUCCUCAAAAUGAUAACUACAAGAAAUAGGAAAAAGAAAUAGAGUAAGCUUCAAUUGAGAUUAGUAAGUUCAUAUGAAAAUUUAACUUAACAUACCUUAUCAUUAUAACAAUUUAAGUAUUUGAACUCAAAAACACAAAAUGACAUAUUCUUGGUAUCCCUACUCUUUCAUAUACAACUCCACAAAACAACCAAUAAGUUAGUAUUAAACAUAACAAGAUCAUAACCUUUGAAUACAUAUACAUGUAUAACCAAACUAUUUUACGUCAUACCAUUCAACCUUGCUCGGUGUGUAACAUAUCAAUAGAAUCCACCUACGAGACAUGUUCAUUUUGCAACGUGAUAAUGAAAUUCAUGUUCAAUCCUUCCAACCAUUUCAUGUUUCUUUAUUUAUCAUUUUCACCCAAAGAAAUAUAUUAAUUUAACUUCAGAUAUACAUAAUUACUUAGCUUCCAUGAGCUUUAGAGUUGAUUUAUUUAAACAAGCUUUAUUUGAUGCUGCUCACCCAAGUUGUCGAGUAUAUGUAACACGUGCAAGAUCUCAGUCAUCGAUAAAGUAUAAUGUGAUGCUGCUCACUCAAGCUGUCGAGAAGCUACAACACAUGCUGGAUCUGAUUCAUCACUAAAUAAUAAUCCAAGGUUGCUCACUCAAGUUGUCGAGAAUUCGCAAUUUAUGUUGGAUCUCAACUAUCACAGAUCUUUGUAUAAUAAUUUGAUGUUGCUCACCCAAGCUGUCAAGAAUCCACAAGUUAUGCUGGAUUUCAUCCAUCAAAUAAAUCUCUAAUCACGACUCCCAUUUUUCCUCUUUUGAACCCAAAUGACUUUUUCAUUCGUAUCUAAACCAUUUAUUAAAUUCAUACAGGUUUUUUACCAAUUCCAUAUCAUUUCAAAACCUUUUAUCCAUAUACACAUUUCACAUUUCGAAUGAUAGUUCUCUAUACAUUUUAAACUUGAAAAAUCAUCAUAUACAUGCUAUCCAAUCACAUACCAUUUCCACAUCCAUUCAAUGUUGUAACAGCUCAUUUUCAGCAAAAUCAAAACAGUGAUUUUAGGACCACAAAUUUGAUGAGUAAAUAUUUAUUUUAUUAUUAUUUUAAUUUGUUUUGGAAUACUAAUAAGGUUUUUAAAAAAAUCGUUAAGAAAUUUUAACGUUUGCAUCCUUAAUUAAGUAAAAAGGACUAAAUCGUAAAAGGUGCAAAAGCAAAGUUCUAGUAGUUAAAGGUAUCAAAUGGCUAUGAAGCUUUAAUGUGAAAGGACUUAGAUGGUAAUUAGAUCAUUAAUGAAUUUAGUGGAUGUAUAUGGCUAAGUAUUAAUGAAAUUUUGAUGUUAAAUGAAGGUUAAGUUAGUAAAUUAAUAAAUUAGUUAAAGUUAAAAUAAAAUAAACAAAAGCAUCAUCGUCCUAAGCGUUCAUCCAACAAAAUUUUGAAGGGAGAAAAUCCAUAGCUAAGGUUUCAUGGUUCGGUCACUUUGCUAGCUUGCAUGUAAGUGAAAUUUGUCUUAUUUUUUAAUGAUUUUUAUGUUUUUGAAAUCAUUGUAGCUUAAUCUAGCUAGCCUAGGGACUAAUUUGCAAAAAUAUUAAAGAAUUAGCAUUUUUCCAUGAACAUGUUUGCAUGAUUCUUGAAUUUUAAUGAAAUAUUAUGAGUCUUUGUUAAUAAAUAACCAAGUUUUGUAAAGUGAUUUUUUAUGAAAAUGUCAUUUAGGGAUUUAUUUGUAAAAGUAGUAAACUAUCAUGCUUAAAUUGUGAAAUGAUGUUUUGUAUGAGUUGAUAUGGGUUCAUAAUAAAUUCAGCUAGCAUGAGUUAAGGAUGAAAAUGCUUAUAUUUCAAUUUGUUAGUUUAAAGACUAAAUUGUAAAAAGGUUAAAAUGUUAGGGACAAAAUUGUAAUUAUGUAUAUAUGUGGAUUAUGGAUUGAAUUAAAUGUUUGAGAUUGAUUGAAACAUUUAAUUGAAUAUAAUUAUUUAUUUAGAUCAAGAUAAAUCUUAAUCGAAUUUAAACCAGGAAAAGGUGAAAAUUACGGAUUAGCUCGAUUGUAAUUUUACGCUCUAGUUGUUAAUGUAAGUUCAUAGUAAUUCUAUACAUAAAUGAACUUUUACUUGCAUGUUUACAAUAUAGUUAUGUAAUUAAUUGCUUAUACUUAAUUAUUCUUUGAAUUUCACAUACAUGCCCUUGUUUGUACUUUGAUACCCCUGAAUUGCACAUAUGUGCCCCUGUUUCUACUUUGAUACCACUGAACUGCACAUAUAUGCCCCUGUUUGUACUUUGAUACCCCUGAAUUGAACAUACGUGCCCUUAUUUGUACUUCGGUACCCCUGAAUAGCACCUACUUGCCCCUGUUUACACUCCGGCAACAUUGAAUCGAGUAAAAUAUGAGUUGUAUUCAAUUUUUGUCAAGUUUAGUGAUAAACUAUGCUCUUACUAAGCUUUAAAAGCUUAUUCAUUUUUUUGGUGAAUUAUUUUGUAGAUUGUUUUUGCUUACAUUUGGACGGAUCGAAUCUACGAAUCACACUAUCAUUUGAUGUUGGUAGUUCUUGUAUUCCUUAGGGUCGUGGCUAUAUAGGUUAUUUUGGUACAAUAUGACAAUAUACUAACCAAGUUGAUAGGCAUCUUUUUGCAUAGUUAAAAUGGUAUGAAAUUGCACACUUGUGAAAUGUUUUGGUUUAUGAGUAAAUUAAGUGUUAUGAUAGAAAUGGAUCAAUGUUUAUAUGUUUUAAAUGUUAAUGUUGAAUUUAACUAUAGUGUCUAUGAAGGCACAUUGGUUGGUUGUUUUUAGGUCAUUAAAAUGGUAUGUUAUGUCAUGUUAAGUUGCUUGUGAUCUCAAUUGUGGUAUGCUUCAAGAUGAUAUUAAAUUGGUAGUGUAUGUUUUUAGUGUAGUGAUGCAUAUGUUUAAGUAAGGUUGUUUGUUUCUAAUUGAGGUUCCUUACAUGUCAUAUUGGUUGAAUGAAUAUUGGUCAUUUGAACUAGUCAUUUUAAGCAUGUUUUGGUAUGUUUUUAAUGCCUUGGUCAUAAGGGUAAAUUGCUUAUAGGUACACUUUUGGCUUGGUGAUGGAAAUGGCUUGAUUUUGGCUAAUUUCUUAUCUACACGGCCUAAGACACGAGCGUGUGUCUCAGCCGUGUGUCCCCUGUAGGUUUUAAAGGUUGCAAGUUAGGAAAUUACACGGCCUAGCACAUGGCCUGACACAUGGGUGUGUGGCUUGGCCAUGUGACCCUACUUAGAGAGUUACUCAAGCACAAACAUGGGCUGAGACACGGCCGUGUGUCCCUAUUUCGAUUGUUACACGGCCUACACGGGCGUGUGUCACACGGCCGUGUGACCCCUACAGUUUAAUUUUUUCUAACUUUUUUGUCAAUAUUUCAAAUGUUUCUGAUUUAGUCCCAAUUCAUUUCUAAAGUGUUUCUAAUGUCUCGAGGGCCCAAUUAAGGGAUGAUAUGCACGUAUAUGAAUGGAUUAUGUUAUGUUUUUAUUAAUGCUUGGAAAUGUAUGGUUUUUAUGUUUCAUUUAUACGGUAAUGCUUUGUAACCCUAUUCUGAUGAUGAAUACGGAUUAGGGGUGUUACAUUUAAUGGUAACAGAGCUACGAUUUAAUCGAUUCUAGGAUUAACAUAGCGAAGUAUGUAACACCCCCAUGCCCGAGACCAUCACCGGAGUCGAGCUUGAGGGGUUACCGAACAUAAUUUAUCAAUUUAAGAACUUCAAAUCAUUUGUUUCUACAUUCACAGCUUUCUAGCUACUCGCGUCACAGUUACAAGAAAAAUCAUAACUCGAGUUAUGAAACUCAAAAUCAAGAUCCGUAAAUUUUCCCUAAAUCUAGACUCAUAUAUCUAUUUACUAAUUGUUUUCUAGAAUUUUUGGUUUGGUCCAAUUAGUACAGUUUAUUAGUUAAAUUCUCCCCUAUUUCAGGGUUCGACUACUCUGACAUAUGUGUAUUACGAAUCAGAUAUCUCUCUAUACAGAAAUUAAAUGACUACAAGGUUUGUUUUUAUUAAAACUAGACUCAAUAAGAAAUCUGUAAAUAUAAAUAACAACUUCUAAUUAUUUUUUUAAAAUUUAGUAUGAAUUUUUAAAGUCAGAAAAGGGGAUCCAAAAAUCACUCUGGCCCUGUUUCACAAAAGUUUAAAUAUCUCAUAAAAUAUAACUUAUAUGCCUGUUUUGUUCAAUCCACAUGAAAAUAGACUCAUUAAGCUUAAAUUUCAUAACUUACUCAUUAUUUAGUUCUAUUUAUACUAUUUUUAGUGAUUUUUCAAAUUCAUGUCAUUGCUGCAGCAAUAUUCUGUUUUAAGGCAAGUUUCAUCUUUCCAUGAAUUUUUAUGAACUAGAUAACCUAUUAAACUUCCAUAAUAUCAAACAUGAUCUAAAUUUAACCAUCACCAUGACUUAUCAAUAUCAAACAUUUUCUCAACCAAUCAUGGCUAUAUCAUAAAAUUAUUUACACAAAAUAGGUAUAUUGCUAUACAUGCCAUACUUAAGUUUUACAAGCCAUUUACCCAGAUGAAAGUCCUUUAGAUAGUGUGAUCGAACCUUUGACCCGUCCCGAUUCCCGAGCUGGCUUGUUCAAAACUACAGUAAAUAAAGAGGAGGGAGUAAGCAUAAAUGCUUAGUAAGUUCAUAUGUAAAUAACAAGUAACAUAACAAUACAAAUAUACCAAACAACUUUAGCACGGUAUCACCAAAACAUAUGUCAUAUUUCUAAAUAUCAUUCAUCAUCUUACCACCUUAUCGUUGUUGUAUCUAUUAUCAACCCGAGGAUUAAGAACAUACCUGUCCAAAGUGUCCAUUUCACAACACUUACCAAUACGUCGCUUGCAUCUUAAGUGUUCUUUCAUUUCACUAGAAAUUUCUCCCGUUGAACACAUUGGACUACAACUCGGAUACACGGAUAAUUUGCACAUAAGUGCCUCAUAUGUAAUCAAGAAAUCAUGUAAUCCGCCCCUAAUUGAACUCGGACUCAACUCAACGAGCUUGGGCGUUCGCAUCCAUAAGUGAACUCGGACUCAACUCAACGAGUUCGGAUGCCUAGUUACAUUUCACGAACUCGGACUCAACUCAAUGAGUUCGGAUGCUCAACCAUCCUAGUGACAUGUCACUUGUAUCCUAAUCUAUUCCUAAGGUUCAAACAGGAUUUUCCUCGAACACAUAUCCUUGCCAUCUUCCGUAAAAUACCAAAACCAAUACUCGGUAGUACUUUAUAUUUAACAAUUAAUACACAUAAUUUGCAUUUUAUUCGAAAAUAGCCACAAAGCAUAUAUUUCAUAAUAAAAAUCAGCAUAUCAUAUAAUUAACAUCAAUAACUUAAAAAUAACAAUUAUGCUACAUUAUUUACACAUGAACUUACCUUGGUACCAAAAUAUAAAGAUUUUGCAAUUUAGUCCACAAUCUUUUCUCUUCCUCGAUCACGACUUGAAUCUCGUUUCUCUUGAUCUAUAAUGCCAAAUUAAUCUUAUUUAAUACAUACAUUCAUCAAAACAGCAUUUAAUAUGAACUUUGGAAAAAUUACACUUUUGCCCUUAAACUUUUGCAUAAUUACACUUUUGCCCCUAGGCUCGGGAAUUAAACUUUAUUCCUUAUUCUUAUGUUUUAUAACAUUCUGAUCAUUUUUCCCUUCUAUGGCAACAUCAAAUACUUACUCUAACAUAUACUUGUGACUAUUAGGUAUUUUUGCCGAUUAAGCCCUUUUACUCAUUUUCACUCAAAACCGAGUAUCACAAGUUGCCUAACAUAAUUUAAAACCCCAUAUUCUAUCAUAAAACAUCAAAAUACACAAAUUUCACCUAUGGGUAUUUUUCCAAAUAUAAACCCUAGGUUGAAUUAUUGCUAACAUAAGCUUAAUCGAGCUAUCGGGAUUCCAAAAACGUAAAGAACAUUAAAAACGGGGCUUGGAAUCACUUACUAUAGAGCUUGGAAGCUUGAAACAAACCCUAACUAUGGAGAACCCUUGAAAUUUCGGCCUAAUGAAGAAGAUGGACAAAAUUUGGCUUUUAAUUUUGUUUUUAAUUCAUUUUAAUAACUAAAUGACCAAAAUGCCCUUACUAGUAAACUUUCCAAAAAUUCCAUCCAUGUCCAAUUUUUGUCCAUAGACUUAGAAAUUGGUAAAAUUCUAUUUAAGACCUCCUAAUUAAUAUUUCAAUGCAAUUUCAUACUAAAAACUUCUAGAAUGCAAAUUUUGCAACUUAUUCGAUUUAGUCCCUACUUUCAAUUUAAGCAUUUUAGGCAUAGAAUUUCAUCACGAAAUUUUCACACAAUCAUGCAAUCAUAUCAUAUUCAUCAAAAUAAUUAUAAAAUAAUUAUUUCUAUCUCGAAUUUGUGAUCACGAAACCACUAUUCCGAUUAAGCCCUAACUCAGGAUAUUACAACUCUCCCCCUCUUUUAAGGAUUUUCGUCCUCGAAAAUCUUACCGGUAAAUAGGUGUGGGUAUUGGUUUUUCAUAGUUUCUUCAGGUUCCCAUGUAGUCUCUUCUACCCCAUUCUUUUGCUUUCUUAGUUGUUUGACUUCUCGAGCUAAAAUCUUAAUCGAUUCUUCUUCAUAAGUCAUAUCCGAUCGUAGUUCAACUUCUGUCGGUGAAAUUAUAUGUGAAGGAUCCGAACGAUACCGGCGUAACAUAGAUACGUGAAACACAUCAUGAAUCUUCUCUAAUUCGGGUGGUAACGCUAGCCGAUAUGCUACCGGUCCAACUUUUUCAAUUAUUUCAUACGGUCUAAUAAAACGCGGACUUAACUUGCCCUUUCGUCCAAAUCUAAGGACUUUCUUCCAUGGAGACACUUUCAAAAAUACCUUAUCACCAACUUGAAACUCCAUUUCUUUUCGUUUCAAAUCUACAUAAGAUUUCUAUCUAUCUGAAGUAGCUUUCAAACAAUCUCGAAUCACUUUCACCUUUUCUUCGGUUUCUUUUAUUAAAUCAACUCCAUAAAUCUGAUUUUCCUUGAGUUCAGUCCAAUACAAUGGUGUCCGACAUUUAUGACCAUAUAAUGCUUCAUAAGGUGCCAUCUUCAAACUCGUCUGAUAACUAUUAUUAUAAGCAAAUUCUACCAAUGGUAAGUACCUUUCCCAACUAUCUUGAAAUUCCAAUACGCAACAUCUGAGCAUGUCUUCAAGAAUCAGAAUUACUCUCUCUGAUUGUCCAUCAGUUUGUGGAUGAAAGGCAGUGCUGAAAUUUAACUUUGUACCUAAUGCCUCUUGCAACUUUUGCCAAAACCGUGAGGUAAACCUCGGAUCUCUAUCCGAAAUGAUUGACAAAGGUAUCCCAUGAAGUCUAACAAUCUCUCGGAUAUACAAUUCAGCCAACUUAUUAAGAGAAUAAUCUGUACGUACCGGAAUAAAAUGAGUCGAUUUAGUCAGUCUGUCAACUAUUACCCAGAUGGCAUUUUUCUUCCUUGGAGUUAACGGCAACCCUGAUAUAAAAUCCAUAGUAAUCCUAUCCCAUUUCCAUUCAGGAACCAUAAUAGGCUGAAGUAAUCGCGAAGGUACUUGGUGUUCAGCUUUCACUUGUUGACAAACUAAGCACUUUGAUACAAACUCGGAAAUAUCUCUUUUCAUUCCACUCCACCAGUACAUUUUCUUUAAGUCAUUAUACAUCUUCGUACUGCCCGGAUGAACCGCCAAACAACUAUUAUGUGCUUCAUGCAAAAUCUUUUGAAUCAACUCAUCAUUUUUCGGUACACAAAUCCGAUUUUUAAACAUCAAACAACCAUCAGAACUGAUUCUAAAAUCUGAUCCCGUAUCAGCUUCACACUGUUUUCUUUUGGCUAGCAAAUCUUGAUCAUUUUUUUGAGCUUCAGAAAUCUCUUGUAAAAACAUCGGUCUUGCUCUUAACUCUGCUAGAAUCGAACCGUCAUCUGAAAUUUUCAACUAAGCGUUCAUAACUCUCAAAGCAAACAACAACUUUCUGCUUAAAGCAUCGGCAACCACAUUCGCUUUUCCCGGAUGAUAAUCAAUAACAAGCUCGUAAUCUUUCAAUAACUCUAACCAUCUUUGCUGUCUCAAAUUCAAGCCUUUUUGUGACAUCAAGUAUUUAAGACUUUUGUGAUCGGUAUAUACUCGGCACUUUUCACCAUACAAAUAAUGUCGCCAAAUCUUCAAAGCAAACACCACUGCAGCCAAUUCCAAAUCGUAAGUAGGAUAAUUCCUCUCAUGAGGUUUUAACUGCCUCGAAGCAUAUGCCACCACUUUUCCUUCUUGCAUGAGUACACACCCCAAACCAUUUAGAGAAGCAUCACUAUACACCACAAAUUCUUUACCUGAUUUGGGUUGUAUCAACACUGGUGCUUCAGUUAAUAACUUUUUCAAUUCUUUGAAACUCUGUUGGCAUUCUUCCGUCCAUUCAAAUUUAACAUCCUUUCGGAGUAGUCUAGUCAUAGGAGCAGCAAUUAUAGAAAAUUCAUUUACAAACCGCCGAUAAUACCCAGCUAGCCCCAAGAAACUCCUAACUUCAGUUACAUUUUUCGGUGGUUUCCAAUCAACAAUGGCUGAAAUUUUACUAGGAUCAACCCGUAUACCAUCACCUGAAACAAUAUGACCCAAAAAUCAAACUUCCUGGAGCCAAAAUUCACUUUUACUAAACUUAGCAUACAGUUGCUUAUCUCUCAAAGUUUGCAAAACUAUCCUCAAAUGCUCAGCAUGCUCUGUCUCAUCUUUUGAAUAAAUUAAAAUAUCAUCUAUAAACACCACAACAAAUCUGUCCGGGUAUGGCCGAAAUAUGCGAUUCAUUAAGUCCAUAAACAUAGCAGGAGCAUUUGUCAACCCGAAUGGCAUAACUAAAAAUUCAUAAUGACCGUACCUUGUUCUAAAAGUUGUUUUAGGCACAUCUGACUCUUUAACUCGCAGUUGAUAAUACCCAGAUCUCAAGUCAAUCUUUGAAAACCAUGUCGCUCCUUUUAGCUGAUCAAACAAAUCAUCAAUUCUCGACAAUGGAUACUUGUUUUUGAUUGUCACCUUGUUUAACUGUCGAUAAUCAACACAUAAUUUCAUAGAACCAUCCUUCUUUUUCACAAAUAACAGGAGAGCGCCCCAAGGUGAAAAACUUGGUCUCACAAAGCCUUUAUCAGUCAACUCUUGCAACUGCGACUUUAAUUCUUUCAACUCUGUUGGUGCCAUUCUAUAUGGAGCAAUCGAGAUUGGAGUUGUUCCCGGUAUCAAAUUUAUACCAAAUUCUACUUCCCUGACUGGAGGCAAACCUGACAAUUCUUCUAGAAAUACAUCCGCAAAUUCACACACAACCGGCAUUGAUUCAACUUUCUUUUCAACUUCUUUUGUAUUAAUUACAUACGCCAAAUAAGCUUCAUAACCCUUUCUCAAAUAUCUCUGAUCCGACAUCAAAGAAAUCAUACUAAAUAUUACCUCUGAUUUGUCUGGUUCAACCCGCAAGAUUUCACCACUUUCACAUUUUAAUUCUAUAACCUUUUCUUUGCAAUUUACUAUAGCAUCAUGCAAUGUCAACCAAUCCAUACCCAAAAUAACAUCAAAUUCAUCAAACGGAAACAACAUCAAGUCGGCCGGAAAGUAAUGACCCCGAAUCAUUAAAGGGCAUUUCUUGCAUACUUUAUCAACUAUCAUGCAUUUGCCUAACGGGUUCGACACUCUAAUCAUAAAUUCUGUGUUCUCAACAGGUAUAUUCAUACUAGACACCAGUUUCAUGCAUACAUAUGAAUGAGUAGAACCGGGAUCAAUCAAAGCAAUAACAAUAGUAUCAUAAAGAGAAAAUGUACCGGUAAUCACAUCGGGUGAGGAAGCAUCUUCACGCGCUUUAAUAGCAUAAGUUCUAGCCGGAGCUCUUCCUUCAGAUCUAACUGCUGCAUCUCUGGCUACAUUCUUACUGCUUGUUUCACUUCCAGCUUUUCUCGGAUGCCUUCCCCUCAUGUCUACACCACUAACUUUUACAUUCUGAAAAUUUUCUUUCUCAGCUCUCUCUGGGCAGUCUCUAAUAAAAUGAUCCGGAGAACCACAUCGAAAACAUUCAUUUGCUCUGCACGGACCAAAAUGAUUUCUACCACACCGCUGGCACUCAAGUUUAAAAAAUCUUGUAUUUCCCACACUAGCCGCAGAAGUAGUCUGAGAUUUAGGACCCACAUUUCGCUUCUUAAAAUUUCCAUAUGAUUGCCCAGCUGAAACUUGGGAACGAGGAUUCAUAUUUCUUGACUUUCCGGUUUACUGUGAGGGUGCAUUACUCAUUGGUCUUUUCUUCCAAUUUCGUGUUUUAGAUUCUACCUUUUUCUUUUCCUUCAGUAGUUCUUCAGCCUUGCAAGCUCGAUCGACAAGUACCACCAUUUCUUUUAGUUCAAGGAUCCUAACAAAUACCUUAAUGUCUUCGUUAAGUCCAUCUUCAAAUCGUCGGCACACCUUGGCUUCUGUAGGAACAUAUUCCCUGGCAUACUUACUCAAUCGAACAAACUCUCUUUCAUAAUCUGAGACUGUCAUAUUACCUUGCUUCAGCUCAAGAAACUCUUUACAUUUCUGAUCAAUAAAUUUUUCACUAAUAUAUUUCUUUCGAAACUCUUCUUGAAAGAAUUCCCAGGUUACCCUCUCUUUCGGCACCACCGAAAUCAAAGUCUUCCACCAAUUAUAGGCUGAAUCUCUCAACAAAGAUGUAUUACAUUUCAAACAUUCUUCAGGUGUACAAGAUAAUUCAUCAAAUACCCGGAUAGAAUUUUCAAGCCAGAACUCUGCUUUCUCUGCAUCAUCAUCAAUAUUUGCUCUAAAUUCUUCAGCCCCUUGUUUACGAAUUCUAUCAACGGGGGUUCUGUGAAAUUUUAUCAUAUCCACUCCUUGAGGCAUUGGAGGCAUAGGUUGAGGAAUUGGGGGAGAUGGGGGAGGUCGUACAUUUGGGUUCGUACGAACGAACUCAGUGUACCAUGCACUCAUCAUUUGGAGAAAGGCUUCCCGAUCCCUUUCUCCUCCUCCCUGCCAACAGUAGGGGGUUGGUUUUCAGUCGGCGCUGCCCCUUCAGCCAGAGCUGGCGCAUUACUCUCUACUUCAUCUGCCACAGCAGGAUCGGGAUCCAUUUACUAUAUAAAAAUCAUUUAAAAAGGUCAGAAGUCGUCACACUAUCACAAUUCAUACAUAUGGCAUGUAUAGCAAAAUCCGUACAUACAACAAGUAGUCCAAGAACCGACUAAACCUGCUCUGAUACCACCAAAUGUAACGCCCCCACGCCCGAGACCAUCACUGGAGUCAAGCUUGAGGGGUUACCGAACAUAAUUUAUCAAUUUAAGAACUUCAAAUCAUUUGUUUCUACAUUCACAACUUUCUAGCUACUCGCGUCACAAUUACAAGAAAAAUCAUAACCCGAGUUAUGAAACUCAAAAUCAAGAUCCGUAAAUUUUCCCUAAAUCUAGACUCAUAUAUCUAUUUACUAAUUUUUUUCUAGAAUUUUUGGUUUGGUCCAAUUAGUACAGUUUAUUAGUUAAAAUCUCCCCUAUUUUAGGGUUCGACUGCUCUGACAUAUGUGUAUUACAAAUCAGAUAUCUCUCUAUACAGAAAUUCAAUGACUACAAGGUUUGUUUUUAUUAAAACUAGACUCAAUAAGAAAUCUGUAAAUAUAAAUAACAACUUCUAAUUAUUUUUUUAAAAUUUAUUAUGAAUUUUUAACGUCAGAAAAGGGGAUCCAGAAAUCACUCUGGCCCUGUUUCACAAAAGUUUAAAUAUCUCAUAAAAUAUAACUUAUAUGCCUGUUUUGUUCAAUCCACUUGAAAAUAGACUCAUUGAGCUUAAAUUUCAUAACUUACUCAUUAUUUAGUUCCAUUUAUACUAUUUUUAGUGAUUUUUCAAAUUCAUGUCAUUGCUGCAACAAUAUUCUGUUUUAAAGCAAGUUUCAUCUUUCCAUGAAUUUUUAUGAACUAGAUAACCUAUUAAACUUCCAUAAUAUCAAACAUGAUCUAAAUUUAACCAUCACCAUGACUUAUCAAUAUCAAACAUUUUCUCAACCAAUCAUGGCUAUAUCAUAAAAUUAUUUACACAAAAUAGGUAUAUUGCUAUACAUGCCAUACUUAAGUUUUACAAGCCAUUUACCCAGAUGAAAGUCCUUUAGAUAGUGUGAUCGAACCUUCGACCCGUCCCGAUUCCCGAGCUGGCUUGUUCAAAACUACAGUAAAUAAAGAGGAGGGAGUAAGCAUAAAUGCUUAGUAAGUUCAUAUGUAAAUAACAAGUAACAUAACAAUACAAAUAUACCAAACAACUUUAGCACGGUAUCACCGAAACAUAUGUCAUAUUUCUAAACAUCAUUCAUCAUCUUACCACCUUAUCGUUGUUGUAUCUAUUAUCAACCCGAGGGUUAAGAACAUACCUGUCCAAAGUGUCCAUUUCACAACACUUACCAAUACGUCGCUUGCAUCUUAAGUGUUCUUUCAUUUCACUAGAAAUUUCACUCGUUGAACACAUCGGAAUACAACUCGGAUACACGGAUAAUUUGCACAUAAGUGCCUCAUAUGUAAUCAAGAAAUCAUGUAACCCGCCCCUAAUUGAACUCGGACUCAACUCAACGAGCUCAGGCGUUCGCAUCCAUAAGUGAACUCGGACUCAACUCAACGAGUUCGGAUGCCUAGUUACAUUUCACGAACUCGGACUCAACUCAACGAGUUCAGAUGCUCAACCAUCCUAGUGACAUGUCACUUGUAUCCUAAUCUAUUCCUAAGGUUCAAACGGGAUUUUCCUCGAACACAUAUCCUUGCCAUCUUCCGUAAAAUACCAAAACCAAUACUCGGUAGUACUUUAUAUUUAACAAUUAAUACACAUAAUUUGCAUUUUAUUCGAAAAUAGCCACAAAGCAUAUAUUUCAUAAUAAAAAUCAGCAUAUCAUAUAAUUAACAUCAAUAACUUAAAAAUAACAAUUAUGCUACAUUAUUUACACAUGAACUUACCUUGGUACCAAAAUAUAAAGAUUUUGCAAUUUAGUCCACAAUCUUUUCUCUUCCUCGAUCACGACUUGAAUCUCGUUUCUCUUGAUCUAUAAUGCCAAAUUAAUCUUAUUUAAUACAUACAUUCAUCAAAACAGCAUUUAAUACGAACUUUGGAAAAAUUACACUUUUGCCCUUAAACUUUUGCAUAAUUACACUUUUGCCCCUAGGCUCGAGAAUUAAACUUUAUUCCUUAUUCUUAUGUUUUAUAACAUGCUGAUCAUUUUUCCCUUCUAUGGCAACAUCAAAUUCUUACUCUAACAUAUACUUGUGACUAUUAGGUAUUUUUGCCGAUUAAGCCCUUUUACUCGUUUUCACUCAAAACCGAGUAUCACAAGUUGCCUAACAUAAUUUAAAACCCCAUAUUCUAUCAUAAAACAUCAAAAUACACAAAUUUCACCUAUGGGUAAUUUUCCAAAUAUAAACCCUAGGUUGAAUUAUUGUUAACAUAAGCUUAAUCGAGCUAUCGGGAUUCCAAAAACGUAAAGAACAUUAAAAACGGGGCUUGGAAUCACUUACUAUAGAGCUUGGAAGCUUGAAACAAACCCUAACUAUGGAUAACCCUUGAAAUUUCGGCCUAAUGAAGAAGAUGGACAAAAUUUGGCUUUUAAUUUUGUUUUUAAUUCAUUUUAAUAACUAAAUGACCAAAAUGCCCUUACUAGUAAACUUUUCAAAAAUUCCAUCCAUGUCCAAUUUUUGUCCAUAGACUUAGAAAUUGGUCAAAUUCUAUUUAAGACCUCCUAAUUAAUAUUUCAAUGCAAUUUCAUACUAAAAACUUCUAGAAUGCAAAUUUUGCAACUUAUUCGAUUUAGUCCCUACUUUCAAUUUAAGCACUUUAGGCAUAGAAUUUCAUCACGAAAUUUUCACACAAUCAUGCAAUCAUAUCAUAUUCAUCAAAAUAAUUAUAAAAUAAUUAUUUCUAUCUCGAAUUUGUGAUCACGAAACCACUAUUCCGAUUAAGCCCUAAUUCAGGAUAUUACAAAGUAAGACUUAGAAUAUACAUCCCACAUAUACCUUGUGAUAGUGUGAUGCUUUUGAUUCGUUCUAACAUUUUGUUUCUUAUAGAUUCAAGAUGUCAGCUGAAUCAAAUCGAGCUAUAGUUAAUGAAAUUGAAAGUAAUGUUCAAGCUUUGAAUCCUGAGGCAAGCAAUAGUGCGUCUAUUCCCCAAUCUGUGGGUGAUGAGAUGAAAAAUGUAUUUCUUGGAAUGAUGAACCAAUGGUUCAACAAAUUUAAACAAGCAUAUCUUGCAACUCUACCACCUCUACCCUAUGUUGUGUCUUCUUCGACACCCUUGAAUACUCUAAACCUUGUACCUGUAAUGGUUACCCGGGUAUCUGUAAAAAAAAUUGGAAAUGUGGAAUAGAAGAGCUCGGAUGUGCGGUAGAUGAUGAUCCUUCAAAAGCUGAGUAUUGGUUAUUGAACACAAAGAGAGUUUUUACGAAGUUAUUGUGCACCCCUAAAGAUUGCUUCAGGAGUGUAGUGUCCUUACUAAAAGAUGAGGCGUAUCUAUGGUGGGAUACUUUAUGCUCGAUAGUAUCGAAUGAUCGGGUUAAUUAGACUUCUUUCAGCAUGAAUUCGAGAAAAAAGUAUGUUAAUCGAUUGUUCAUUGAUCGAAAAAAGAAAGUUUCUCGAGUUAAAACAAGAAAAUCAAACUGUAGCUAAGUAUGAAUGUGAGUUUGUGCAGUUAAGUAAGUAUGCUCAUAACAUUGUAUCAAAUGAGGAGGGAAUUUGUAUCAAAUUUGAAGAUGGUUUGAAUGAUGAGAUCCAUAUGCUUGUAACAGCAUUAAAGUUACCAGAAUUUGUAGAACUUUCAGAGCAGGCUCAGAAGGUUGAAGAGAUUUGUAAAAGCAAAUGACAUUCAAAUUUGAGAUUUCGAGAUUAUAACAAGAGAAGGUCAUUUAAGCCUGCUUAAACACCUUUGUAGGCAUAUUGUAUUGCAUUCAAAACACCAUUGGGGAUGUCACCUUUUAAGCUGGUUUGUGGGAAGCUUUGUCAUCUACCCGUUGAGCUGGAACAUAAAACAUUUUGGGCUAUUAAAAAGUUGAACAUAGAUUGGAUCACUAGUCGACAGAAAUGAUUAUUAGAGCUAAAUGAAAUGGAUAAAUUCUAAGCUCAGGCAUACGAGAAUGCUCAACUGUGUGAAGAAAAGACCAAGCAUUGGCAUGACAAAAGGAUUAUGCCACGACAAUUUGAACCCAGACAACAAGUGUUGUUAUUCAACUCUAUGCUCAAAUUGUUUCAGGGAAAAUUAAAAUCUCGUUGGUUAGGACCUUUUGAAGUAGCCCACGUAUAUCCUUGUGGAGCUGUGGAUGUUAAAGAUGUUUAGAUUGGGCUCACAUUUAACAUCAAUGGGCAACGCUUAAAGCAUUACUGGGGUGUUCUUGUGACUCGAGAUAAAUAGUCCAUUGAUCUCCGAGAUGUUUAACUUCAGCGUCUCGAUGAUUUUAUUUUUGUUUUUAGUUUUGUCUAUUUUUAGUUUCUCUUAGCUAUUUCAUUUACUUCGUUUAAUAAAUUUUAUUUUGUAUUGCAAAUAUUUGCAUGGUAAUAAGGGUUCGGGCCCUACAUUGCUCUUUGGCCCAUCGGCAGUUAUUUCCUAAAUAUUUGGCCUUCCAAAUAUUUUUUUUAUUUUUUUCCUUUUCCCUUCAAUUUCAAUCACACCACAAUCAAGCCAUCAUUAUUGCCCAUCCACUCGCCCAUUUCACCCCAUUAUUUUACUACUGUGUUAUUUUUCUUUUACCCUAAUCGUUUCAUCUUCUUUUACAGUUAACCUAAGUUUUCUUUUUCUCCAAAUUUACUUAUAUUUCUUUUACUCUUGCAAGUUUUCACCUUUUUCGUUUACCAUUUACUCUACCUUCUCCUAAUGGCCAGAUGUUUUACUCUGUAACCAUCUGCUCUGCCACCACACACAUUUUCAACCAAGAAGUGGAAGAUCAGUACACGCAUAAUAUCUCGAAGUUUCCUUUCUGCUUGGAAAAAAGCUUUCUUUUUCAAGAUAAGACCUUUCUGGAUCUAUUUCUUUUGUGGUACAACAACAUGGAUGGAAGAUUUUCUGUUUGCAUCUAAAUGAUGUUUUGACAAAGGUGGUUCAUGAGUUUUAUACUCAUCUUACUUCUCCCAACAAUGUUUUUAUUCAUAUGUGAAGAGCAUCAAUGUUAUUUGAUGAAUAUUCCAUUCAUGUUCAGUACGGCUUAUCUAAUGUUCAAGAUGAACAAACUCAGUUUGCUGCUACAAUCACUACGGAUGGUCUGAAUAAGUUCUUCAAGACUUGUGUGUAACAGGUUGUAACACCCCAAACUCGGCCCAGACGUUAUGACCGGAUCCGACAUGCCACAUCGAAGCGUUCAAAAUAUUUUCUAUUGUUGAUCCAGAAAAAACUUACUUAGUGUUUUAAAAGAUAAUUUCAUUAUAGGUUAAAGUGAAUGGAAGCUGUGCACCAGGUAGGAAACCGGAAAAGAGGUGGUGAGUCCAUCGGACUGCUUAAGUACCAAGCUCCCUUCGGAUCCAAUCCUAGACAUGCAUACCGCCAUUGCCACACCUUAAUGUCAUGGAUAUUUCUAGGAAACUGAUUUGAUUAAGUCAUUUUUAGGAAAAGUGAUUAAUUUUGGAAAAUACUUUCAUUGCGGAAGCUUUGUUUGUUGUCGUGUUAUUUUGAAAUCAAUUGUUGUUUUGAAAACGCGCCCUAAAGCUAUCCAAUUUCAACAGUUAAAAUAAGUAAUACCUAUCUUAGUAAUACAUAUUAAAACCAUCAAAAAUAAUUAAGCGGCCUUAUUACAUUUAAAAACCCAAAACUUCAAACGUAAAUAAAAGGAUGUCCAAUUCACCAGAAGAAAAUCAAACUUUCAGAACGGGUGGCCACUCCGAAUUCCCUCACAACUCCAAGCCCACUAUGGUUGGGGAUUUCCUGCGUGGAUGAAAAUAAAAGGGGUGAGAUUGGGGAAACUCAGUGUGUAAGGAAAACCCAUUCAAAGCCCAAGUCAGCUCAAGCCUAUUGGGCCUAAGCCUAUUCAGGUAACAGUGGUACUGGACCAGAGCCCUUUUCAGAUUACAAUAAACUGGGCCUUAGCCCCUUAAUCAGAUAACAGUAUGGCCCAUAGGCCCAUUUCAAAAUACAUGAAACAUCAAUAACAUAUGCAAGCCCAUUUGGGGAGACUACUCAACCCACCAACCACUACACUCCACCCGUACCAGCCCUACACUCCAUGUGGGGAAUAGCUCAACCCACCCAGCCCAACACUCCACAGUUGCAGCCUUGCUGCUUAGUUAACAGUAAAUUGAGGCAAAGCCUCCAGUACGUGGACAAGCCACUUUCAGUACUUCCUCCGUCAAUAUCUCAAUCCCAUGCAUCAGAUAAUAACAACAUGGCAUGCAGUAAAUAACAACAGUCAAACAUGCAUUUAGGUCAAUUUAACCAUAGGGGUAUUUCGGUAAUUUAUCUACUAGGGGUAAAACUGUAAAUUUUCCACUUUUAAAGGUAUUUCAGUAAUUUAUCUAUUUUAGGGUUUUUCAUGCAUAUUCCUACCUUUCACUUACUAACAGAAUUACGUACCGAGGGUUCUUACUGAAUUGGGCCCGUUGGCCCAUCAUUCCAAUUUUGGCCCAUUAAGCCCAAAAAUAUCGAGGGCACAGAAAUCAUGCACUUUGCAGUCCAAAUUUUACAGCUUACCAAAAACAUUAAUUGAUUUACCUCACGAGCAUUCGCACACUCACAAAUCUACAAAAUACUGAUUUUUGGCAUUUCGGCUUUUCGACUUUUGCCGAUCCAGACUAAGAAAGAGGGUGUUAGUUACACACCUGUUUGCGACGAUAUGCUGACGAGAUCCACACACGAACCGCCUACAAUUGGAUUACUAACAUGUUAAUCUAACUAUUCAAAUACAAACUACGUAUUAACCCCUUACAAUAUUCGGCCAACCACACCUACAGAUCAUAGUAAGCUUAUAAGAAAACAAUAAGCAACUCAUUAAUAAAUUUUUGUCAAUGUUUACCACAUAAUCAUAAUUUCACUGCAAGCUGUCUUCCUGAACAACAGUCACUAAAUCAUUUAUAACUGGAGCUACGAAACUCCAAAUCAAGUUCUGUUAAUUUUACCUGAAAAUAGACUCAUAUAUCUUCUAUCCAUAAAAUUUUCAGAAUUUUUUGUUUAGCCCAUCAAUACCAGAUUUUUCUCAAAGUUUCCCAUGUUUCACUGUUUGACUAAUCUGACCACUCUUCAUUACGAAUCAAAUUUCUCAUUGUAUAGAAUUCAAAAUAUGUUCUAGUUUAUUCCAUUUGAAAAUAGACUCAUUAAGAUUUAAUUACAUAAUUUAUGCAGCUUCUAACUCAUCUCCCACAAUUUAUGGUGAUUUUCCAAAGUCACAUUACUGCUGCUGUCCCAAGCAGAUUUAUUACCAAAUCACUCUUUCACACCUAACUUGCAUGCUUGUUAUUUAAACAUGUAUAUCACCAAUCAAUCAUCACAUAUCUAUGAUUUUACUUAAGUAUAAUCUCCAUUUCAUCAUUUUAAAGAACAACAUGUUAGCUGAUUUUUCCCUUUAACAUCUAAGGCACAUGCAUGCUCAUUUGUUUGGCUCAACUUCACCUAUCUUCCAUUUUCCAUCAAAAGAACAUGAAACAACAACCAUUUCCUUCAUUUUAAUUCAUGACUAAAUGCUCACAACGCAACUAAAAACCAAAAUAUGCUUCAAGAGUUAAGGCGGAAUCAAGAUGAACUCAUGAACCUCAAAAUAAGAAGCAAGGUACCAAGAACUUACCUUCAAUUUUCCUCCUCCUAAUGACCGAAUACUCAAGAGCUUUCUCCUCUCCUUUCUCUUCUCUAACUUUC
This 29862-nucleotide long non-coding RNA is filed under the name Gossypium barbadense (sea-island cotton). Its description in RNAcentral is "long non-coding RNA (GBAR_LNC008988)". Lineage: Eukaryota; Viridiplantae; Streptophyta; Magnoliopsida; Malvales; Malvaceae. The record is from RNAcentral.